UACGGAGGGGGCUAGCGUUGUUCGGAAUUACUGGGUGUAAAGCGCGUGUAGGCGGCAGGCCAAGUCUGCGGUGAAAGCGCCCGGCUCAACUGGGCGAGGUCCGUGGAAACUGGUCAGCUGGAGGACGGUAGAGGCGAGUGGAAUUCCCGGUGUAGUGGUGAAAUGCGUAGAGAUCGGGAGGAACACCUGUGGCGAAGGCGGCUCGCUGGGCCGGUCCUGACGCUGAGACGCGAAGGCGUGGGGAGCGAACGGG
This 253-nucleotide ribosomal RNA is filed under the name uncultured bacterium. Its description in RNAcentral is "partial 16S ribosomal RNA". It matches the Rfam family "Bacterial small subunit ribosomal RNA", at positions 524 to 776 of the family's 1533-position model. The record is from RNAcentral.